AGAGUUUGAUCCUGGCUCAGGAUGAACGCUGGCGGCGUGCCUAAUACAUGCAAGUCGAGCGAACGGACGAGAAGCUUGCUUCUCUGAUGUUAGCGGCGGACGGGUGAGUAACACGUGGAUAACCUACCUAUAAGACUGGGAUAACUUCGGGGAACCGGAGCUAAUACCGGAUAAUAUUUUGAACCGCAUGGUUCAAAAGUGAAAGACGGUCUUGCUGUCACUUAUAGAUGGAUCCGCGCUGCAUUAGCUAGUUGGUAAGGUAACGGCUUACCAAGGCAACGAUGUAUAGCCGACCUGAGAGGGUGAUCGGCCACACUGGAACUGAGACACGGUCCAGACUCCUACGGGAGGCAGCAGUAGGGAAUCUUCCGCAAUGGGCGAAAGCCUGACGGAGCAACGCCGCGUGAGUGAUGAAGGUCUUCGGAUCGUAAAACUCUGUUAUUAGGGAAGAACAUAUGUGUAAGUAACUGUGCACAUCUUGACGGUACCUAAUCAGAAAGCCACGGCUAACUACGUGCCAGCAGCCGCGGUAAUACGUAGGUGGCAAGCGUUAUCCGGAAUUAUUGGGCGUAAAGCGCGCGUAGGCGGUUUUUUAAGUCUGAUGUGAAAGCCCACGGCUCAACCGUGGAGGGUCAUUGGAAACUGGAAAACUUGAGUGCAGAAGAGGAAAGUGGAAUUCCAUGUGUAGCGGUGAAAUGCGCAGAGAUAUGGAGGAACACCAGUGGCGAAGGCGACUUUCUGGUCUGUAACUGACGCUGAUGUGCGAAAGCGUGGGGAUCAAACAGGAUUAGAUACCCUGGUAGUCCACGCCGUAAACGAUGAGUGCUAAGUGUUAGGGGGUUUCCGCCCCUUAGUGCUGCAGCUAACGCAUUAAGCACUCCGCCUGGGGAGUACGACCGCAAGGUUGAAACUCAAAGGAAUUGACGGGGACCCGCACAAGCGGUGGAGCAUGUGGUUUAAUUCGAAGCAACGCGAAGAACCUUACCAAAUCUUGACAUCCUUUGACAACUCUAGAGAUAGAGCCUUCCUCUUCGGGGGACAAAGUGACAGGUGGUGCAUGGUUGUCGUCAGCUCGUGUCGUGAGAUGUUGGGUUAAGUCCCGCAACGAGCGCAACCCUUAAGCUUAGUUGCCAUCAUUAAGUUGGGCACUCUAAGUUGACUGCCGGUGACAAACCGGAGGAAGGUGGGGAUGACGUCAAAUCAUCAUGCCCCUUAUGAUUUGGGCUACACACGUGCUACAAUGGACAAUACAAAGGGCAGCGAAACCGCGAGGUCAAGCAAAUCCCAUAAAGUUGUUCUCAGUUCGGAUUGUAGUCUGCAACUCGACUACAUGAAGCUGGAAUCGCUAGUAAUCGUAGAUCAGCAUGCUACGGUGAAUACGUUCCCGGGUCUUGUACACACCGCCCGUCACACCACGAGAGUUUGUAACACCCGAAGCCGGUGGAGUAACCUUUUAGGAGCUAGCCGUCGAAGGUGGGACAAAUGAUUGGGGUGAAGUCGUAACAAGGUAGCCGUAUCGGAAGGUGCGGCUGGAUCACCU
Molecule: ribosomal RNA, 1540 nt
Filed under: Staphylococcus aureus FVRH6026
Lineage: Bacteria; Bacillati; Bacillota; Bacilli; Caryophanales; Staphylococcaceae
Description: 16S ribosomal RNA
Rfam family: Bacterial small subunit ribosomal RNA
Source: RNAcentral